CGGGGGAGGCCGGAUCCUGGGCUGUGUCCCGGUGCCCUGUGCAUUGGGGCCUGCGCUGUUGGAUUUGGCUCCCACCCGGCAUCCCCCU
RNAcentral lists this microRNA precursor (88 nucleotides) under Canis lupus familiaris (dog). RNAcentral describes it as "mir-8799 microRNA precursor family". It matches the Rfam family "mir-8799 microRNA precursor family". RNAcentral also lists the same sequence under 1 other name. The record is from Rfam by way of RNAcentral. Lineage: Eukaryota; Metazoa; Chordata; Mammalia; Carnivora; Canidae.